GACGAACGCUGGCGGCGUGCUUAACACAUGCGAGUCGAACGGAAAGGCCCUGCUUUUGUGGGGUGCUCGAGUGGCGAACGGGUGAGUAACACGUGAGUAACCUGCCCUUGACUUUGGGAUAACUUCAGGAAACUGGGGCUAAUACCGGAUAGGAGCUCCUGCUGCAUGGUGGGGGUUGGAAAGUUUCGGCGGUUGGGGAUGGACUCGCGGCUUAUCAGCUUGUUGGUGGGGUAGUGGCUUACCAAGGCUUUGACGGGUAGCCGGCCUGAGAGGGUGACCGGCCACCUGGGGAGCGAGGUACGGCACACUGGCGUGCGGGCGGCCGCAGGGGUACGUCUCGCACGCGGGCAGGCCGCUUGAGGCACGCACGCGGCGGCCUGGCCGCGGCCCGUGGGUGUGGACACCGCGGUCGCCGGGGGCGAAGGGGGGGUGCCGGUGGUGGAAAAAGACCCCCCGGCAACCGACGCUCCAUCACUCGCGUUAAUAAUCGGACGCCCACUCGCUUCCUC
This 509-nucleotide ribosomal RNA is filed under the name uncultured bacterium. Its description in RNAcentral is "partial 16S ribosomal RNA". The stretch from base 15 to 367 matches the Rfam family "Bacterial small subunit ribosomal RNA", at positions 42 to 397 of the family's 1533-position model. The record is from RNAcentral.